CUGGGAUUGUUAGUGUGCCCUGUACCUCCCCAGCCUGCCAGGCAGUGCAGGGGCACCGAUCAGUGUGCAGGCCCUGAGCUACAAGGAAAGGUUAUUUACUCAAGGCUGGCCGAGGGCAGGGCUUCACCUGAAGCCAGCUGGCCUCAGCCAAGGGGUCACCCAGCAUCUCUAAAGCCAAGUUCAUGGUCUGAAAUUCUGCUCUCUGGAGGAUAUUUACAUGUGCACUUCCCACAGAUCAACCACACUUUUCCAGAGGCAUCGCUGUUGGAAUAAAGCCCCUAAGGAAGACUCCGUGCCAAGCAGCAAAAUGGCAGUCUUGCUUUGCAGUGCCAACACAGAUGUCACUCACCACUGGCAGCUCACACUGAGCUGCUGCAGCCUGAGGAGCCCACUCUUCAGACACAGAAGGCAGCUCUGAAUCCAUCCAACUAUUUAUUGGAAUAAAGCUUUGAAUGUAAUAAAGCUUCCUUUCUUG
This 475-nucleotide long non-coding RNA is filed under the name Cyanistes caeruleus (blue tit). Its description in RNAcentral is "lncRNA (ENSCCEG00000006928.1)". The record is from RNAcentral. Lineage: Eukaryota; Metazoa; Chordata; Aves; Passeriformes; Paridae.